GAAACACCUGCAGUGGUGCAAGAGGAGGGACUGGUGAGGAAGAGGAGUGAGAAGCCCCUUCCCAGCUCAGGAGCCACCCCCCUGCUCUGCAGGAAGUUGCCCCUCUUUGAAGAACCCUUUGAGAGGGCUGCAAACCACAACCAGAGGAGGGGAGAAGGCACAAUUACAGCCUGAGCUUGGCUUUUUGGUGCUUUAAGGAUUAAAAAGGGGAAAAUGUUAAUAAGAAAUUAAGUGAAAAUAGGCACAACUUCAUGAACGGUAUCUACAUAGCAAUGAUAAUGCUUCAGCCAGAAAAAAACUCUUUUUUUUUAUCUCCCAGGAGUUUUGUGUGGCCAGCAAGGAUUUUCCAUGUGUUUUAUUAGCAGUAGUUCCUUCAAGAGACUCUUCUGAAGCUUGGUUUGAUUUGGAGAGGGAAAAGGGCUCAAGAUAAAAAACUUCCAGAGAAAUAUUCCUGUAAUAAAUGGGAACUCCUUCCUCCCUCCCUCCCUGGCCCCAUCCAGCAGCUAUCAGUGAACCAGAUGACUCCUUUACAGUAUGAGAUUACCAGAAAAUAUGAACCACUUCUGACCCACAGCUGCAGCCCUGGAGGCCUGCCCCUGUGUCCCUCUUGGAAUGGAUGCAGACACUCAGAACAAACUGUCCUGGUGUGGUCCACUCUGACAUCAGUCCAUCUGCUCUUCAAGAAUAAGAAGUAGAAAAAUAUCUAAUGAGUGACAGUGGUCAGAUAUUGGAGGUGAAUUUUAAAUAAAAGGAAUCUGAAACUAACCAGGCAUUGCACAAACAGCAAUUUAAGAUGAAUAAUUUUCUCUUCUAAGGGAAAAGACUGUCUGCAGGGAGAGCCUGGCCUCACUGCUUGAUGGGAACCAGAAUGGAGAGGAGAGAGGAACUCCUCAGGGUGUGCUUUGGCAGAAUUAUGAAAUAAAUAUAAAAAUGUACUGGGUGGGAAUACUUUCCUCUGUUACAAAUGGUUUGAAACAUUCUUAGGGUUUUUGGCCAACUGAAUACAUAAUCCUUUAACUAUAACAUCCUUGGCAAAGAGUGUGCUUCAGCCUCUGUCUUGUUGGAAGAUGCUGUUCAAAACUGAUUUAUUUCAGUUUGGUGUGCACUGCAGUUUGGAGGUGGCACUUGGGGUCACAGUUCAGGGGUGAUUGUGGUGGUGCUGGAACACAGUUGGAGCAGGUGAUCUUUAAGUUCUCUGUGAACCUUGAUGAUUCCAUGGUUUGUAAUAGAUGAGUGAUUCAUAAUGACUUUAUGAUUGUGUGUAGCAGGGCACUACAUGACAUUAAUAUAAGCUGAGGGUUUAUUAGCUGCCUUACUAUUUGUGGAUAUAUCAUUUUUUUAGUACUGUCUUGCUUAAUCCAUAAGCAUUGUGGUGUUUUAAAUGAAUUACACCUUGGGGCUGCAGUCGCAGAGGGAGAGCCAGGCCCCUGAGGAGGGCUCUGUGUUCUUGUUGGGGCUGAAGCUGCAGCUCAGCCCUGGUGAAUCCUCACAACCACUCCCAAAGAGAAGAUCUCUGAAAAAGCAAAUGGACACCAUGCAAACAGGCAGGAUUAAACCAGGAUAUUUCCUUAACUCCCCAAAGAAUUAUGAAGAAUGAUGUUUUCACUCUAAAAAGUGGGAAAGGAGGUGUUGCAGUUUUAGGGACUGGAGUGUCUGUGUGCUGAUGUCAACACAGCAAAAGGUCUCCAGUCACAACAAUGAAAAAUGGCACUAGCACUGCUGCCUCAGUUCUGCAUUAGCAUCUUGGCUCAUCAUUCAGAGAUUUAGAGCACAGAAUAAUAGUUUUCUCCUUCAAGUUAAGGUUAAAGAGCAAAUUCUUAACACAAAUGUUUCGUAUAAAAUUGAUUUCAUUCUGGUAAAUCUGAGAAUAAACAAAUCCUCUCUCUAGUGCAAUGCCUGUAAAUAAUUUAUUUGAAAGCAUUUACACAAUCAGAAAAAACCAGGGUUGAAGGAGGAGGUCAUCUAAUCCACUGAACUCUCUUUUAAAUCUAUCUCUGCUUAAAAAUCUCAAUGCAGUACCAGAAACUAUUUCAUUAGAGUGGCAUGAUGAAGUUCUUCACUAACUUACAGUGAAGAAUUGCCUACUUCUAAUUCAUUUCCCUGGAAGCAGGGGAAAGUCACCAUCUUAGUCCUGCUCUGUGGGCAUUGAAGUGAGGUUCUCCUUUUUCUCCUUUCACUUUACUGGCAGUUUUUGUUACAUUUUGAAGUUUUUAAACAGUAACUUCAGUCUAAAGACCAUAAAGACUUUUGUAUCUGCUGAUAUCUGAGGGAUUUGUGUUGGUGAUUUUGUGUAUCUCUGCUCAACUCAAGCUGAUUCUCACUUUGAAUUAAUUAUUUUGAUUAUUCUUUUCCCAUCUGGGCAGUCCAGUUCCAAGCCAUCCUUUUGGAAAAUGAUGCAACUUGGGUGCUUAGCUGUAAAUUAUAACCACUCCUCUGGGGGUGUGUUAGGAGUGGAGAUGGAAGCAACUUUAGCUGAGCCAAGGGAAGAUGGAGGAGAUGGUGCAAGGUGUGAGUAUGCUCAGGGUGUUUGCUGUGAGGGAAGAAGGCAUUGUAAAUAGGGUAAUGUGUGCUGCACCUACUACAUCAUCCAGCAAAAGCAGGAGGAUGAUGGUGGAAAGAUGCUCAAUGUGUAUAAGGCCCCAACAAAUGAUUUUUUUUGUCUUUAAGACUGGUACAAGUUGAAAACUUGCUGAGCAAAAAUAUUUAGAAAUAAAGGCAAUGGAGCUGGCGGGAGACUUGCUGCUGGAAUCAAUAAUAAAAGGAUAAUCUGUCUUUCUUUGUGGUACACAAAGCAAUAAUCUGUUGUUCAGAUUGAUUAAAUGCCUCAGCUCUGCUUCGAUUAUUAAUCAAUCUCCAAACCAGUUAUUGUGAGUAUAAUACAAAGUGCUGGAGAUUGUGGAUAGUGGUGAUGGGAGCAGGAGGGUGGGGGAGUCUUUUCUCCAUCAUGGGAACAAAAUGGAGCUGAGGUGAGGUGGAGGGUCUGUGUGGAUGGGUUUUUGUUGAUUUCCAUGUGAGAGGUUUGACUGCAGAAUUCUAAAAGGGGAUCUGAAGAUCAAGGUGACACAAGCCAGCGGGAUUUUGAUCUCUGAUUCACAAAUGGAGGAGGUGCCAUUGACCAGACAGAGAAGGAAUGUAAAAUAUGAGAACAAAGCUUGGCUAGAAAAGCCUGACCAGUUACCUUUUGGAACCAUGCUGUUGUCUGGUGUAUUCUUUGCACUAAUAAUUUAUUUAAUUUCAUUCUCACACUACAGCUUUUUGAGUUGUGGGCUAGCCUAGGCUUUCAGCUUUCAAGCUUUUUAAGUUAUGAGGAAAAAAAUCUCUCCUUCCUAUGUAUUUUGCACGUUCUUGCAGUGGGGUCACAUUAUUGCCAAAGUGGUUUGUUGAUUUUACUGGUAGGUUGGGUGAUGUUUUAACAGGCAGUGCAAAGAGUCAAAAUUUCACUUGUCUGAAUGGCUCUUUACUUCUGAAAGGGGGAGGUUGGGUUUGCCUUUCUUUAUCUUUUUUGACUUCUCUUAAGAGAUACAAAUAUACCUGUUUGACUGAAAUUUAUCAAUCACACUUCAUGAAAUGCAAAAUCACUUCAGGCCCUGAGUAGUAACCUUUAAUUUGUCUCCCCUUUGAGUCCAGAGUUGGACUUUCCAGAGGUCCCUCUCAACUUCUCUUACUCACCUUGGUCAUCCCAGCCUGGCAGGACUCAGAGGAAUUAAAUCAAUUUAUUCUCCCUGGGAACAGUUCCAUUCAGGAACUUAAGAUGUCUUGAAUUAAACCUCAUUUAUUAAAGGAGUGUCAAUGAUAUCAGCAGCCCUGAUAACUGUCUCGUAGGAAGUCAGAUGGUUGACAAAGAAAAAGAAAGCAGCAGGAGACAAUUAGCACGUGCUGUCCCUUGGACUACCUGAAUACUCCAAGACUGAAAAAUUCACUAAUAUGAUAAGCAAAAUGAUGGAGACUGGCCACCACAAAUUGGCUCGUUCUUUCAAUUUUAAACUGGAUGUAUGAUCUUGAAAUAACCUUUGAAGUGAUCACCCUGGAAAGAACAGAGCGUUCCCUGUGAAAAAGCAUUGAAGUCAGUUCAUGUGAUGCACACUUUUGGGUUCCCACUUCCCACAGGAACACAUCAGAAGACAAGGACAGCUGUGAGUGCAGUGAGUCCAGCAAUUAUCAGAGCCACUUGAAAGCUUUUCUUUGAAUUGCUGCCAUGAUGAGACCAGGUGACAAAACAUGUAAUGAAAUGCUGCAUCUUCAGAAAAAUGUAAAGUUGGUGUCGUGUAACACUUCUUUGAUAGAUUAGUCAAUGUAAUUGCAUGAAAUAAAUGUCAUCACCUGUAUGAAGAUAAAUAGCUGCUCCUGCACUAGCAUGCUUUUGCACAUAAAAUGUGCCAUUUUACCAGUUGUCCCCAUUUUUUUGCCAAAUAGAUUUUAUAGUGGCCAUAAAAGAAAAGUGUGAUGUGUCUACUUAAGUGUUACAGUGUUAACAGAGGGCAUUUCUGUGCUUCUAUAUAAUUGAAAUUAUGACAGUUUUACUUGAAAAGUUGUUUUGUAGCACUGUUACUUGACAAAAAUGUUCAUUUCCAUUUCCUGACGUAUCUAAAAGUCAAAAUGCGUGGAAUCAGAUGCACAUGCAUCAUUAGCAUGUGGGUGGCUGGAAUUUUGUGCUCAUAAUGCUCCUUUUUGCCACGGAUGCCUGAAAUGGGGCUGUGCUGUGUUCUCCUGGCAGAGUGGGACACCAGGCUGGCACCUGCAGGGGUGGCAGUGACAGCGUGGAGAUGUCAGCUCAUUCUGUCCUGACAGCAGCACUGCCAGGGCACAAGAGAAAAGUGUCCACAGCAUGUCCUUGCUAUAAAGGAAAGGUCAAAUAGGAUUGUCAAAAGCAUUUAAAAACAUUAGAGCUGUUUCAGACGUUUUUAGUGUGGAUUGGAAAGUAUUUCCUCUUGUGUACAUGUACAGGGGAUAAAGUGAAAAUCUAUAUUGUAAAUAUGAAAAUUGCUAAGAAUUUUGGGAUGAGUUAACUACCAGGCAACUACUUGGUGUCAUAUUUGCUAGGUUGAUUUGGGGUCCAAAACCAGUUGUCUGAAUUUUUUUAAGUGAAAGUCUGCAUUUCAUCUGACACACUGAUAUCCCAGGCUUAAUGAAAGCAACCUUUUUAACAGCUCACUAAACAAACCAAUAUGUGUUCAGAUGAAGAACUCAAUUAUUUUCAUGUUUGCUAAGUACCAACUAUCCUGGACAGGUUUGGACACCUCCUUACUCUUGUUACUCCUGUUUUGUGCAGAAGUUCUCAUUUUGCUUUUUGUAGCUAACACUAAUUUAACAGAUAGUACUUGGUGGCAUUUGAAAAUGGAUUUUUUUCUCUAGGUCUCUAAGUGUAACGUUUCCCCUGUGAAACACCAGGAAAAACAUUUUUUUUUAGUGUCUGAGGGAAUCUGGCUGGAUGUCUGCAUGUGGGACACGCUGUGUUUGGUAAUCGUGGGAGUGGGUCCAGCACAAGGGCAGCAGUUUAUUCCUGCAUGAGAUGAUUCCCAGUUUGUGCCAUUAGCUGCAGGGAUUGGCGGUGCACUAAUUAGAGCAGUGACAGCUGCACAGCCUGUCCCGUGCUGCUGUGCCCUGCCACUCGCUGUGGGUGUGCUGCUAAGGCCUCGCUGCAGAUGUUUGCUUCAGAUUAGUUCAAUCCUCACAACUGGCAAAUCCCCAAAGGAGCCACGGGAAACUUCUCAAAUGAGUGAAAUCAGCUUCUGUCCAAAUCCCAAGGGGCUGGGUGGCACUUUCUGGGCAGGCAGGCUUGUGAAAGCUCUCGCUGCCUGCACAGCAGUGAUUGCCCUGUGCAAACACGCCAGGAGCACCCUCAGCAGGGCCUGAUCAUGUGUGAUAAGGAACAGAGAACACACUUGCUUUUUGAGCUGCAUAUGCUUUUUAAUUUCCCCAUCAGGAGAUGCACGUGAAUGUACUUUCACACAGCUCGUUGGCUAACAGCCCAAACUGUAUUUUAAUAUUUCCGUUCCUGUAGCUGAAGGGGUCAGGGCUGAUGUACUGGGACCCAGUUAGCAGUGCAGUUAAUGAUGCAGAGCUUUCUGCCUUGGCUGCAAGGAGAUGUUCCUAUUCCUGCAGGGAUGCAGGUCUGUGUGCUGAUAGCCAGGAGAACAUUGCCACCCUUUGGCCGGAAAGCAGAGGCACACGGGGAGAGAAGCACAUCGUGCAAGCCGGGGAUGCUGCAGCAAAACUAUUUCAGAGUCUCCCUCUGUCUCUGCCAGCAGCAAAGUUGACUUGAGAGGCCAGCACUGCACCUGCCCAGAAAGAGGAUGGUUUGUAUUGGUGAAUCUCUGCUGAGGGUGGAAGGAGCCAGAACUGCCAUAACUGCACUGACAGAGGAUUCCCACAGAUCUUUGUUCUGUGUGACUGUGGAAAAAGGCCUCUGCCACUGGUACAGGCUUGCAGAGCUUGUCAGGAUAAUCAAAACAGCAACAGAUAAUCAGAAUGGCAAAUUUCCCCUUCUUCCUUUACCUGCUGCAGCUGGUUUGAGGGGUCUUCUGGGACAGUCUCUGAGACAGAAGAGCUUGUUCUUCUUCUUGAAUUUGACUUGAUUGCUUUCAUGCAGAACUAAUUGCCAUGUUUUCACAGAAGGCCAAUCUGUAGUGUGGAGAGACAACUGCAGAGCCGUUUGCAGCUGGCUGGCAGGCUGGAGAGAAGCACCCUGAAUAUCUAAAGUUGAGGCAGGAAAGCCACCUCAUCUUCAAACGACCUGCUAGGAAACACAGCUGACCAGGGAAUUAACUGUGCCCAGGACUGAAGCCACAGAGCUGCAGACUGCAAGGGGAACAAGGCACCAGCAGAGAAAAUGGAUGUUAGCAUUUUGCCACUGAGAUUCCUCUGUGCAUUGUCACACCCCGUGAUGGAAAUACUGUGAAAAUGGAUGUGGUGUCACCUUCACCCCCAGAUCCAGAAUGGAUGGGAGCUCUCUGCCUCCAGAGACUUUCCAGCUCUUCCUUUAACAGAGAAGCCCCAGCUCAGAGCGAAUUUGAUGAGCUCAGUUAAAUGCUGAUUGCUCCUUUGCUGGUGCCCAGACCAUGCACAGCACACUCAGAGCACCAUUCAGCCAAGCCCUGGUGCUGCUGGGGUGAAGAUUUCUGCUCUGAGCCCCUCAGCAGGAUGCUCUCUCCCUGAGGAUGCUCAGCAGUGGUGGUUGCUGUGGGCUGCUCCUCUCCACCUGCCCAGGGUGCUCUAAACUGCAGCUCUGCUUUCACUCCGGACAGGGGCUGCCUUUGAAUCCUCCCUGGUUUGAAAUGUAACACUCCAAGCAGCAAGAAAUAGAGAAAUAAACCAUUGACUUUGAGAUGAGCAGAGGGUAAUAAAGAGGACGAGGUGAAGUGCUGGGAUGUAAAUAUUCACCAAGGGAAAGAAAAUUAAUUGCUGAGUUUGGCUGGCAGCUUCUUUUCUGAUUGGGAUUAUAAAUAUAAUUUCUUUCCUGUGAGAAGCUGGGAAUGUUUGGUGGCAAAAAUAACACUGAAGACAUGCAAUCAGUGUGUUUGGACUCUGUCCUGUUUUACAAACCUCGCUGACCUUUGCUAUUUCCUUUAUUUCUAAGCUCUAGGAACCUGGCUGACAUUUUUGUGAUGUUGAUGAAUUUCACUCUGGUAACUUUGAGGUGCAUUACACUUGGCCUGUGUCACCCUGCAGGCUACAGGGGCAGGGUGAUGAAAUAGGAUAAGCUCUGAACAUGAUACAAAACAUUCCUCUUUUUUGUAACAAAAUUAAUUCUUUCACAGCAAUUUGCUGCUUUUGUUUUUAACAAAGCCCAAAUCCAAGUAGCUGCUGAGCUCAGCAAGGCCAACAUGUAUUUUUUUGGUGGGACCAACAUAUCUUGGCUGACAGGCUGAGAGGUGAAAGCUAUCAGAGCUCUUCAGGGCCCCAAAGCUGUUUCCAUGAAGUCUGCUGAGAACCAAGACAAUAUCUGGCCUCUUGUUGGGUUGCAGCCAAAUCACAUUAUAAUGCUUUUUCUCUUGGUUCAUUUACCUGAUAAGGUGACAAGAAUUGAGCUGCAGCUUUAGCUCAAGGGUGUGUUUCCCUUGUGCAUUCAGCUUUGCGUGGAACAAAUAUAAAUAAUAAAUCUGUUUCCUCAUGAAACAGAUUUAAUCAUGGCCUGGAUUAUGGGUAGUACCCGUGGGCUGCAGGAAUUUAACAAGGAUAGGCAAAUGUCAGUCAAAUUUCAAGGAGAGUUGAAAAUCUUUGCAUUAGAUGUUGUGAGUAUAUUUGAUCUCUGCUGGCUAGCUGGGAAAGAAAUGGCAUUUCAGAGCAGAACUUUCUGUCCCUUGCAGUUUUUACAUUUGAAAAUCAUUAGUCAAGAUCGUGAAAGGUGCAUGAAAAUAACUGUGUAGAACAGCAUGCCUCAUCCUGGCUUUGAGAAUUUGUUAGAAUCCCCCCAGAGAGGUUUUUUCUUGGUGUUUGGGCUGUGCUGAUGUGCCAGGUUCUAGUCUGGAAUUGCCCAGCCAGGGAAAUGCUGACUAUUACCAGCUCUUCCUCUGUGAGGUUUUACCCUUUUUAAGUGAGGCCCAGAAAAGCCAAAAGCUCCCUGCUCUGCUGACUGAAUUUCUCAGGGAGUUUUGGCAGAAUAAAGGGGUCUGUGCAGUAGUGGUGGGGGUUUAUUUUGUUUUGUUUGGAUCAAAAGCUGAGUGAAAAACUGAGAUGGAGCAGCAUCCCUGUGUGUGCUCCCCCACCAACAGCGCCAGUGGGUGGGAAGAACCAGCUACAGUUUAAAUAAAUUUAAUUAAACACCAGUUAGACCAACACAUUCACAUUGCCAUUCAGACAUUCAAACUUUCAAAUUCAAUGAAUUUGAAAUUUCAAUUUUCAGUUUUCAAUUUCAAUGAAUUCAAACAUUCAUUCAUUCAAAUUUUUGAUCUAGUCUAAAAAGGCAAAAGCUGCAGUUCAGAAGCUGCACGAGUGCAUGAAUGUGCAUGGCCUUGUGUCCCCUGUGAGCAGCACGCACAGCACAACCUCAGCAGCUCCUUCAGAAAAUUGUGAAUUCUGAAUACUGCAGGGGACCUGCCCCUUGAAAUGUCCACUGGUCACAGAAAAGUGAAAAUCAAUUUCUAGCUUUACCACACCUGCAUUCUUUAUGAUGGAAACUGUGUGCUACAGCAUGAGGCUGGAGUAUAUUUUCUUAGACAGAAAGACUAGGGUAAAUAAAGUUUACUGUGCUGAAAAACAACUUUUAUUAUACAAUGUAAAUAGGUAACUCAUAAAAAGAGCUGAGGAAAAUUCAGUGAGGAUUUGAAGCUGGAAUUUGAUUCAGAGACUUCCAAUACUUGAUAGUUUAUUUCUUAAGCCUGCUCCUGGGAGACUGGAGAUUUUUCUCAUGCAAAAAAAAAAGACUUUUUUUUUUUUCCUUGGAAAGAAAUAUCAAAUAUUCUCAUUAAUUUUAAUGACUUUUGCAUAAACCAAAUUUUCACCAAUGACAUUGUUUUUCCUUCAGAACUAAUUUCCAAGGGAGUGAGGUUUUAAAUGAAUCAAGAGGGUGUUAACUUUUUUCUGUUUAUAUUUUUUUAUUCCCUUUGGGAAAAUGACAUUUUAAAAAUUCUUCUUGUUUUCAUCACCACUUUCUUUUUUCUGCAGAUAGAUUUGGGUGUUGCAGGCAGUGCAUACCUGUUGCUUCUUGGAUUUCCAUUCAUUCCGUCUCACACAGCUCAUACAUCAACAAGAGGAUCUGUAGUCUCAGUCCUUAGAUUAUAAAUGUGAAAAUAAAUACACAGAGAUCUUGAGAUUGGCCUGCCACCCCAAAAUCUUCCUAUGAGUGCUGACUCAUUCCCAGUGUCUGAAAUGCUGAUUUUAAGUUCAAGUCAUAAAUAUCCCUGCAGCUUUUUUUCUUUCAGGUCCAGCACUAUAAAUACUUGGAGGGACUGAGAAGUCCAAAUGCAGAUUUUCCCCUUUGUCUUUUGCAUUUGACCAUUUGGAGGACUUGCACAUGGAGUUACUGAAGGAGUUAAAGCUGGAUGAGUUAAAGCAGUAUCUGGAUUGUUCAUUGGUUUACUCUUACUUGGUGUAAAUCUCCCAACCUUAUUAGAAAAGGGGCUUUGGCCACAAAUUCUGCCUUGCAGUAAAUUCCCUAAUUGGUUAAUACUUUUUAAAGUGCACAUUUAUCAAUACAAUCUCUAAUUUUAAUGGCCAAAACUUAGGAUAUGGAAGAAACUCUGCAUGUGGAAAACUCACCUCUAUUAGUAGAGGAAGAAUAAAGAGCAAAUAAGUGACACUUCCAGAUUUCUUUGCUCUCCCAAGAUUUUAUUAUUAGAUUACUUUGGUCUAAUUAAUUGGACUCUGAACUUCUUAUUGGGAGUUCUGUUUCAGACCUGGAGAGCUGAUCUUAGCUCUGUAAUUUCCUCAAGUUUCUCCAUCAUGUUCAAGUGUUGCCUUCAGGCAGGGAUUGUCUUAUACAAUAAAAUAUAUUAAUUUUCAAUUUCUUUAAAAGUAGGGCUGGCUGUUCCUGCUUCUGCUUUCUCCUCCCAUCCAAGAGUCAUGAUGGUGGUUAAACAUCUCUCACUGAGAGCAGCUACUGCUCUUUUGUACUUUGAAGUGGCAGAAACAGAACCUUUGGUAAAUAAAAACCUCCCAUUGGUACCAGGAUAUUUUAUGAAAUUCCCUUUGCUAGGAUUUUUCUGCUGAGAAGUCUCAGAAAAGAAAUGUAAACAAUAACUAUCUGCUGGUUGUGGGAUGUGGUCUGGAGGUUGUUUAUUAACAGGUGCAUCUUUGAUAGGUCUCAUUUGAGUUGUUUUGAUUUAAUGACCAAUUGCAGUGCAGCUGUAUUGGACUGUCUGUCAUGAAUUUGGUUAUUCAUUCUAUUUGAUUCUUUUCUAGCUUUCUGAUGGAUUUUUUCUCUAUUCUUUUUUGUAUAGUUUUAGUAUAGUAUUUUAAUAUAAUACAAUAUCAUAAUAUAAUAAAUCAGCCUUCUAAUGGAGUGAAGAUUCUCAUCUCUUCCCUUGUCCUGGGGGAACCCUUGAACAGAGCCACACCCCAUAAAAUCAUUAAAGCAUUGAAAAUGGUGGCAAGGACUGCAGUUUAAGAGAUGCUGCUUCUGGCUCUUGGUGCAGCAUUGUAGUGGCAGCUGUGUAGGGAGAACUUGAGGCUUUUCAGGAUGUGGGAUCAGUCCUGUCUGUGGCUCUGCGUGGAAUGGGAUUUUUGUGAGAGAAUUGUUUGGAAGGUGUAGCAGAAGCUCGAAGCUUUGUCAUGUCUGGGCAGGCUGAAGUGCUCGAGCGCUUGAGUGGUGUGCUUGGAGAUGUGCAAGAUUUCUGAGGCUUUCUCAGCUGACAGUGUGCUCUAGAUGGAGCACUGUGUUUUGCUUGUAGCUCAGAACCAUUCCUGACCUUUUCCCCUCCAAACUGGCAAUUCGUGUUGCCAGCAGAAGAAAAUGUGAGAUAAUUGCAGUGUUUUUAAAAGAAAUCACUGGGAGCUGAAUUUCAAGACAAGUCCUUUCACCUGGAUAAAACCUGGGCUGUGGCUGCUGUCAGAUUUCAGUGUGCUGGGGUUUCAUUGGUCCUGGGGAAAAUUGGAGGGGAAAUUUGAUUUGCAGCUGCUCAGAUCUGUGAUUGAUGGAGGAGCUGGUGUGGGGGUAAGAGGGGUUGGGUGCAGAGGGGAGUCACCUGUCUGGGAGCAGGAAUGCCAGAGGUAGAGCAGCUUGGGAGUGAAUGGAGCAGCUUGGCUGAUCUAUCCAUCCUCCAAGGGCAGCGAGUUCAGAAGCAGCCAAUCAGUUCUACACUACAUAAGGUGCUUUGGACAUGAUGGGAGAUAAUUGUACAGAUCCACUAAUAACAUUGUGCUUUAAAAGCUGCAAAGUGGGAAGAACAUAACGCAAAGCAUAUUCAAGGGGUGCCAGCUCAUUAUGCUGACAGGUUGGAUUUCCAAAUCCUCAGAAGUUGCAGUGUGUUAUGCAGGGAAAUGCACACACGAAUAAUCUCUUCCAAAGCCCUUGCACAGCAGGCUGGAGCUGCAAGGAGAGAUUCGUGGGAAAAACUGAUGCAAAAUAAAGCAGAAACAAAGAUGGCAAACAUCAGAACAGCAGAACCACUCGCUCUCAGGGCACUUCCAAGAUGUUUCUGUUGCUGGCAGUUGUACCAACCCAUCACUGUUUGAGGAGGUGCCAGAACUGCGUGGAUUAGAGACAGAAAGGCUGAAAAAUUCACCAACUUUGGGUUUGUCUCAGGAUCCCCUGGAAUGGGGAGUAAAUCUGAGGGUAAAUCUGAUUCUGCAGGCCAGUUCCUAAGGACAAUCUGCUGCUCCUGUGUUCCCUGCUGUUAAAUACAGAGAAUAUUCAUGUGAAUAAUGGAACAUCCACCCCUUGUUCAAGAAGUUCUGCAGAAGAGACAAAAAUCUUUAGAGCUACAUGAUUUAAUAUUAGGUGACAACAUUUAUCACAUACUCUUUUGGAACCUGUGGCUGAUGAAGAGGUUUUGUCACGGAGCUGAUGACAGCUGAUCACUGUGAUUUGCAUGUGUUCUCUCAGAGUCCUGGUGACAUAAUAGCCAGCAGAUGUUCGUUUGCACCUUGAGGUGAAGGAGGAUACAGAGCCAGAGAGGAGGAGAAAAAAUUCCCAAUCAUUCUGCACCACUGGAGUCUGGCAUGAGCUGCUGAGAGAAAGGAGGAUAAAUGCCAUCAGAAAAAGGCAGAUGUGAGGGUGCUUUCCAUGGUUAAAUGAAGAAUUUCAUGUCACAAUAAAAUAACAACUAAAGGAAAGCAUCACACGAUGAAAAGACAGGAAAUAUGUUUUUCCAGCUUCUCAUGAUGACAAAUUCUGGUCUUCAGCUGCCUUCCCUGCAGAACUCCCAAUAUUUCAUCCUGAAGUGCUGCUUUUGCAGAAACUUUCUGGCCUGGAUGUAUUUUCCUGUUAGUUCCAUGCCAGGAUCCUCACAUUUUCAGGGAGACCAUCAAUCCUCUGCAGUAUAAAGAAUGUUUUCUUCCUCCUGUGUCCAGCUAGAUUCCUGGCUGUCAUCAUUCACGGGAGGAAAGAAGAAAGACACAGCAUUCCUAGAUGUUGGAGUUAUUGGUUUGGCCCAGGAGCUCAGACUUGUGGCUCCAUUUUUAUCCUGCCUGGAGACGUGGCUGUGUGGCAGGCCUGAAUAUCCUGAGUUUUCAUGCUGUUAUUUGGAGCCUUCCUGAACAGCUGGAUUGGGUCACUUCUCAAGCCUGUGUGUCCAUCAUCCCACGCAGAGGAGGAAGAUCUCCUGGGCUGGAUUCCUCCUGGGUGCUGCUGAUGUCUCCUGCCCAAAGGGUUUGGAUUCUGGGGCAGUGACAGCUGGAGGACAGCCAGAGCUCAGGCUGCUCUGACAAUUGCCCAGCUCAGACAGGAGUGCAGGAGAUGUGCUGAUGGAGGCUGUACAUUGACACUUUGUGCUGCAGUCAUCAGCAGUGUCCCUGGAAGGGUUUGCAGAUGAUCAGGGACCAAACCCCCAGGAUCUGCUGCACCACCACAGGAGGGUGAUGGAUGAAGUGUGACCCAGCUCCUUGUGGAGCACCUUCCAGUGGUGCACAAGAGUCACCAGAUGGAAUUGGAUCAUUGUCUAGGUUUUAGGAGUGAUAUGUGGAAUCCUAAACCACUCCAGAUUGUUGCAGGUGCGACUACCCUGAUCCUGAUGAAGCAAGCAGAAGAGCUUGGAAAACCCAAUGUAUUUUAUAGCAGUGGACUGGAAGUGGAUCUGUUGAAUCUCAUGUGAACAUUUUGCUCCGUGGAUCCUGUGUGUCUCCAUCAUUUUGGAUAACCAUUACCAGAGUGCCAGGUGAGUGACAGCAGGCACUCUGAGGAGUCACCUGAAGUCUAAAAGAUUUAGCACUUACAUUUCCCCCUCAAUUUUAUAUCCAUUACACCUUUAUUCUAGGGUUGUUUUCUUGUUCUUAAUUGAAGUAGAAUUUCCAUCCUAACUUCAGAAUCUUGGCUUAGCAAACACCAAAUAUUAAAGCACCCCCUACUAUAAAAUAGUCACAUUUUAGCUGGUGAGUUCAACUACAGACAGGAAACAGAAACAUUGAUCAGAUCCACAAAUGUUUCUUACAAAGGAGCUGUUCCCAAUAAUAAAAACAUAAAAGUGAUUUCCUCCUGAAGAGUGUAUUUGUAUUACCAUAAUUAAUUUAAUAUUUGCAAUGUUACAUAACCUUUUUUAUUUUGCCUGUGAGCAUGAUGUAAAUAAGAGCAUUUUGUCAUGAGAGGUCUGAUAAUGUCCUGUUUUUGUGCUUCAGGUAAUCGCCAGCUAAACUGUAGCAGUUCUGAAUUAAGUGUGUAAAUGAGCAGAAAUUUUCUCUUUUCUUACAUUACAAUUUUGUAUUAUAAUUACAAAAAAAUAUAAUUUAACAUAGAGGGGUCUGACUUUAUUCUUCCUAAAAAAUAUCUUUAUUCCUAUUUGUAAGUAGAUAUACAAACUGAAAAAUGGCAUUUUAUUAUAAUUUUCAAUUUAAAAUAUUUUGGUUAAUAUUUGUUCGACCAAAUAAUAUUUUUUUAGGGCUAUCCAUAAUGCAUGCAUACGUACAAAGUAAAAAUUAAAAUGAAACUGUAAUUUAAGUUGAGCAUGGCUCCAGAUGUCUUCACAGAUUUUAAGUCAGUUUUGUGUCUUUUUGUGAUGGCUGGCUUUACUGCUUUUAUAUUGAUUCAGUUUAGCAGAUUGGCUUAUGUGUUAGAAUGAUUUAGGAUGCUGUAUCUUUUAUUUUCCAAUUUAGCUCUCCCUUGUAUGUGAAAACACUCUGUGUAGUGGCAGGACAGGUAUUUAUGGGUUAAGCAGGCACAGCUCUGUUUUAGGGCUUGAACAGAAUGUUGUAGUGUAACAGUUCUGUGUUUAUUGCAGGGUUUGAGGUGAAACUCCUGUUCCACCUGAGCUGCACUGGCUGUUCAGGGGAUGGAUCAUCUCACUGCCUUCUGGCAGCUGACUGUGCUCUAAAUAAUCUAAUAUUCAUCAGUCCAUGGGAAGAAAUCUGAUCUAAAGAGCUAAUUAGCUUAAUUAGUGCAGCUAUCUAGAAUGGGAGGCCUGGCUCCAGUCUCAUGUAAAGCAGAGUUAGUGUUGAAGAAGAAAGUGAGUUUCCUGCAAUAGAAAGGGUGCAGGACUUGGCACCUUCCCCUGGAGUAUGGCAGGGUGAGUGAUGGGAGCUUGGACAAGCCUUUUUCUCAGGAAUUCUUGGUUUGCUCUGUGCAAUUCCUCACUGUGGUGCUUAAAGCCCCCGUGGCAUCAGUUACCAACAGCACAGCCGUGAGGUUUCUCAGUUUGUGCAUGCUCCCAUGGCCUCUGUGGUGGAGUUUCCAAAAACACUUGCAUGCUAAGAAAAUUUUGUAAAAACAGCAUCCUUUAGCAGGUCAACCAACUUUCUCCAUGGCCAUCCUUUAAUGCUUAUUCAUUUUGGAAAAUGUUAGAACACAGGGACAUGACAGGACUUUGAUGGAAUGAAAAUGAAACAAGCUUAUGGAAUCAGAGGGUCAUUUAGGUUGGAAAAGACCUCCAAGAUCAAGUCCGGCCUUGGAUUACGUUUAGUUGACACAGUGAUGUUUCCCCAGCUGCACCAUUUCACCAAAUGCUCUGUCCAGUUUUUAAGUAAUUUUGUUGUAAUGAGCAAAAAGGAAAUUUUUUUUCUUUCUUUUCUUUAAAAUCACAUUUUUACAAACAGCUGACCCGUGCAAUCUAGUAUUAGAUCAUUUAGUGGAAACUAAUUUGCCACUUUGGGGCCAGAGAAUCAUACUUUGCUUAAUAUCUAACUCAAAAAUCCAUGGAAAGUGAAUAUAUUAAUGGCUUUCUGACUGUGGCUUCAUUUAAAUCUGUUAAUUAUUGCCAUUCCUACAAGCAUCUUUUGUGUUGCAAUGCACAAAAAACAAUAUUUAAGAGGAAUGAAUGCUGUGGGUUUCUCUCUUGAGAUGUCCCAGUUGGAGUGAAUAAUGGUGCCACAUUCCCCUCAGAAGGUCAAUGGGGUUGGAAUGUUCUGUGGAGCUGGAUCAGCCAGCACUGAGCUUCCAUUAACUCUCUGGUCCAGCUGCCCUAUGUACAAAUCUUCAGACCAAAGCUGUGGGCAUAAUUCCUUUUAUUGUUUUGGUCAAGGGAAAGGAUUUUUGCCUGUAAACAUUCCAAAAAACUUGCGUGUGGCUGCCAAGCAAGUGAUCUGUCUGGCAUUUGUGAGUUAAUGAAAGAGCUGCUUUAGCCUUGGAGCUGGAUUUCAAAACACAGAAUCUGGAGAGGAAUGUUGCAAAUGUAAUGUUACCCAAGCCUCUCCUAAUGAGAAUUUACAUAAAGAAUGACCCUGUGGAAUUGCAGCAAUGGAUGGUGCUGCAGUUUAGCAGAAUGGAAUUGUGUCUCCAGCCCAGAGCAACUUAAAAGUAGGGAUUGGAAGGUUUUGGUCUUGGGGGGAAAAGUAAGUGCUUUUCACUUGCUCAAGCCAUUCACUGUAGGCUGAAGUAGCUUCUGUAGGUAGCUGCUAACAGAAAGAAAGGCUGAGAUUACUGGAAUAUGCCUAAAAUAGUGAAAAAAAUGUCCAGGCUUUAUUUCAUUGUGCUUUACAGUCAAGGGAGAAAUAAUCACAAGGUGAAUGCAUUUUUAGAGGACAGUGAUACAUAUAAAUAAAAUAAUAAAACAGUAUGAAAAGCAAGAUCUUAUGCUUGAAACAUUCAGUAUUCCUAGGUGAUGACUAAUCCAAGCACUAUUAGAAAUUUACUUCUGAGACUGAUUUUGACCAUGUUUAACCUGCUGUGAUCACAUGGAUAAGCAGAAUGGAAGAUAGAGAAGGUGGGAGAACAAGGACUCUCCCAGCUCUCCACAGUUUCCAGAUGAAGAACUCUAUUAAGGAGAAAGAUGCUCAUCAGGAGAAUGGUGGUGGUAAAAGAGGAAUUGUGCUCUGCAAGUCCUGCAUCUUCUUUUUGGAACUGCACAGGAUCUGCAGCUCCUUUUAACUGCAUUAAAUGUUUGAAGUUUGAGGGACAGCUCUAGGUUUAACAGCGUUUCACUCCUGUUCCUACCUUGUCAGCUUAUGGAACAACUGUUUGCUAAUUGCUUUAGGAGGAGAGACAAAAAUGAAGGCUGGUAUAAAACGCAAAGCAGUAUCUCAGAAUUACUGGCUGGAAUCUUUCGUGACAUGUUUGAGUUUCCAUCUGUGUGUUUAUAUAAUGUAAAACAUAAAAUUGAAAUGUAAGUGUACCAAAAAUAAGCCAAAAAAAUAAUUGACAAACUCAUCUGGGAGACGUGUGUGUAUAUAUAUAUAUAUAUAUACACACACACACACACACAUAUAGAUAUAGAUAAAUACAUACCCUAAAGUUCCUGGAGUGGGAAUAUUUGCUAAGUUAGGAGUUUACAGUGGUGCUAAUUCCAGUGAUGUUGCAAUACAUCACCAUCAUUGAUGCUGAGAAAAUUUUCUCCAGGCACAAUGAGGGUUAAUAUUUGAUAUUGAAAUAAUUAAUUUCUAUUUUCUUAGGUCACUUUCAUUUCAGUCUGGAAGUAGAAUCAAGGUCCAGGUUAGAUUUCCUGGUGCCCUGAGCUGUUUGGAGGAAGCUUUAUACAAAUGGCAGCCUUUUAAAAACACACAGCUUGAUCAAAAGAGAUUUGUUACCUCAGAAAGCUUUGCAAGUCGUAAUUUCCCACCACCCCUCAGAAAGAGGUUUAUAGGAAACUGCACAUCCUCCUCCUCACAGAAAUGAAAAAACAAAAUGGAGAUAGAAAGAUAGAAAUGAAGUGAUUUCCACAGGGCCAUAAACUGCGACUGGAAUCAAAAUUGCUCCGGAGCAGUUUGUGCCUCCUGCCCAAUGCCUGCAGUCCCCAGGCCUGGCUGUCACUGCUGGAAUUACUGGCCCUGGGAGCUGUUUCUCCAUCAAUGACAGUCAGAGUUUACAGCCUCAGCUUAUUCAGAAACAAGUGUUGUGCAUGAGGUCCCCUUUUUUAAAAUCUGUCCGCCAUUUCACUUCUAGAUAUAAAUUAUUUGGUUCAGAAUUGUUUCCAGUGAAAAUGUUGCCUCUAUAAAUUGUACCUUGAAAUAUUUUCAUUUCCUUCAGCAAAUAUCAAGUGUUUCUCUGGUACUUGGGGAAAAAAAAAAUCUUCAUUUCAAUGAAUAUUACUGCUUCAAGCCAUUGCAUGCUGUAAUACCUUUUAUUUAGCUGACUUGUAAAGGUUGAGGAGAGCAUCAGACUUUCAUUUCUUUCUGCUUCUGGUGAAGUCAAAAGUGAUACUUUCACCAAGGUUAAGGGAAAAGGUUUUGAUCCUGACUGAAAUCAGGGGUCUACACCUGAAAAUGUUCAAUUCAGAGGAGUUCUGCCAGCAGCUGGAAUGCUGAAAUCCUGGGGUUCCUUGAUUCCUGUGACCCAGCUAAUCAGCCCUUGCCUGAGAUGAAUAAGGCAUGAAAAUAGCACCUGGCCUUCAUGUCUUCCUCAAGGUUCUCACACAGAGCCACUAAAGAGAUCAAAUAAACAGCUUUGGAGAGCUGAGAGAUGAUUCAGUGGCUAUUCUCUUUGAGCCAUGCCCAAAUGGAGCUGCUCGUGCACCUUAAUUAUCGCUAUUUUUGAUGAAUGCAGACCUUAAGCAACACCUUCUGUGAGGAACUUUCAGCACAACGAGGCUCACCAGAGCUUGCCUCUGGCAGGAGAAGGUUUAUAGCUGCUUCUCAGCAUAUUUGAAAGAAGAUUAUUGCUGCUGACGCAUUGCAAAAAGAUAAAGAAAGAAAUCAGUCAUGACACCAUAAAAAAAAAAAAAAAGAAGGAAAAAUCUAUUCAGAAGUGAGCAAAUAAAAGCAAAUAAAAGAAUACAAGACAAAUUCUGGGGGGUGGAAGAGAAUUUUUAGAAAAAUUGAAAUGGAAUUUUGUCCAAGCAGUAGAAGAGAUUUAAAGCCAUAAAUCAUAGGAGAGUUAAACCCAUAAGAGACAGAAGAGAGGAGCAGUCCCAGGUGAGAGCUGGUGCUUGCCAGGUGAGCCUGGAAGUGAAGGCACUUGGCAGAGAUGGGAUGGGAGGGGUUAACACCACUGCAGCAGCACCUGCAGCUCACUGGCACUUCACUGCCUUGGUGAUCUCGUUAACAGCUUUAAUUAUUCUUUUUCCAAUUUCUAUAAACACUGUGCUGUCAGCUCCCUUCAGCUGUGACAAAAUGGCACGUGUAGCCCAGCCUGGGGGAAGCCUCAACAAGGCCACAGAGCAAAAGUGUUUCCAUGACCUGUGACUUUCUUUUUAUUAUUCCUUUUAGCAAAUCCAAGAACAAAUACAAUUUUCUGUUGAAGUGCUGUUAAACACACCUACCAAGUGUGCGCCAGCACUGCAUUCUAGAGGGGUAAAACAUAUUACAGAAUGAAGAAAAUAGAAGCAAUUCUGAUCACCAGUUUCAUUUAAAGAUUGUUUAUGGUCCUAAUUACUUUAGAUGUAAUUAGUCAUAUUUUUUCAAUAUUGAUAGGAAUAAUCCUGUUUAUUGAGCUUCUGUUCUGAUGCCUGUACAUGUGCAGCUAUGACCUAGUUCCACCAGAAAUAAAGAAUUUUUAAUGCUACAUUUUUGCCUGCUGCAAUUAGUGAUAGAACCUGUUUCUCUGAAUAAGACUUACACAGUUUUGCUUUCAUAGUAAUGUUGGUCCUCCUAAAGGAAAAUAUCAGUGUUCAGGAAUGUUCUUUUUUCUCUGGGGAAAAAAAAUACCCAAAAAACCACCUCCAACAAUAGAACAAUAUAAAGAAGUAGAGAAUUAGGGGGGAAAUGGAGCAUUUGUAUUGUUUAUCUACUAACAAGUGUCUUUGCAUAUAGGACAGGAACUCUUUUGGGCAUACAUUUAAUAGAUCAAGAAGAACUCACUUUGGAGUGGGUAGACUUCGAGGUACAUGUUCUGAACCUUUAACCUUUGUUUGUUAAAGCAAAAUUAAUCUUUCCUUCUUCACUUUUAGCCAAAGGUUACCUUCUGUACCACGGCAGGAGAGUGAUAAAAAGUAGGAAGGGAAACAAAAAGGGAUAUUGAGGAAGCAGGCAAGACUGAAACCCAGCAAGAGUGCUGCAGGUGCAGCUACAGGUCAUACAGAGACCUUGAAGAUCCUCUUGUCCAGCUCCAGCCCAUCCCACAGCCACA
Molecule: long non-coding RNA, 20020 nt
Organism: Passer domesticus (house sparrow)
Lineage: Eukaryota; Metazoa; Chordata; Aves; Passeriformes; Passeridae
Exons: 37
Source: RefSeq, a predicted model, not a curated record